UUCAAAGUUUCUCUGUUUGCG
Molecule: non-coding RNA, 21 nt
Filed under: Caenorhabditis elegans
Lineage: Eukaryota; Metazoa; Nematoda; Chromadorea; Rhabditida; Rhabditidae
Source: RNAcentral